Chloroflexi bacterium GWC2_70_10 is the source of this 902-nucleotide non-coding RNA. NCBI's taxonomy places the organism in Bacteria, Bacillati, Chloroflexota. The record is from Rfam.
UAGUCGGAGAGUUUGAUCCUGGCUCAGGACGAACGCUGGCGGCGUGCAUAAAACAUGCAAGUCGAACGGACCAAAGCCGCAAGGCCGAGGUCAGUGGCGAACGGCUGAGUAACACGUAGGUGACCUGCCCAGAAGUGGGGGACAACUCCUCGAAAGAGGGGCUAAUACCGCAUGUGAUCACCGGUCCAUUCCGGUGUUCAAAGGCGCAAGUCGCUUCUGGAGGGGCCUGCGGCGGAUCAGCUAGUUGGUGGGGUAACGGCUCACCAAGGCUACGAUCCGUAGCUGGUCUGAGAGGAUGGCCAGCCAGACUGGGACUGAGACACGGCCCAGACUCCUACGGGAGGCAGCAGUUAGGGAUCUUGUGCAAUGGGGGAAACCCUGACACAGCAACGCCGCGUGAGGGAUGAAGGCCUUCGGGUCGUAAACCUCUUUUCUGAGGGAAGAAACCUGACGGUACCUCAGGAAUAAGCAACGGCUAACUACGUGCCAGCAGCCGCGGUAAUACGUAGGUUGCGAGCGUUGUCCGGAAUCACUGGGCGUAAAGCGCACGCAGGCGGCUUCGGAAGUCCAAGGUGAAAGCCCUGGGCCCAACCCAGGGAGGCCCUUGGAAACUCCGGAGCUCGAAGGCGGGAGAGGCAGAUGGAAUUUCCGGUGUAGCGGUAAAAUGCGUAGAUACCGGAAGGAACACCAGUGGCGAAAGCGAUCUGCUGGCCCGCUCUUGACGCUCAGGUGCGAAAGCUAGGGGAGCGACCGGGAUUAGAUACCCCGUUAGUCCUAGCCGUAAACGAUGGUCACUAGGUGUUGUCGGUAUCGACCCCGGCAGUGCCGUAGCUAACGCAUUAAGUGACCCGCCUGGGGAGUACGACCGCAAGGUUAAAACUCAAAGGAAUUGACGGGGGCCC